GAUGAACGCUGGCGGCGUGCCUAAUACAUGCAAGUCGAGCGAACGGACGAGAAGCUUGCUCCUCUGAUGUUAGCGGCGGACGGGUGAGUAACACGUGGAUAACCUACCUAUAAGACUGGGAUAACUUCGGGAAACCGUAGCUAAUACCGGAUAAUAUUUUGAACCGCAUGGUUCAAAAGUGAAAGACGGUCUUGCUGUCACCUAUAGAUGGAUCCGCGCUGCAUUAGCUAGUUGGUAAGGUAACGGCUUACCAAGGCAACGAUGCAUAGCCGACCUGAGAGGGUGAUCGGCCACACUGGAACUGAGACACGGUCCAGACUCCUACGGGAGGCAGCAGUAGGGAAUCUUCCGCAAUGGGCGAAAGCCUGACGGAGCAACGCCGCGUGAGUGAUGAAGGUCUUCGGAUCGUAAAACUCUGUUAUUAGGGAAGAACAUAUGUGUAAGUAACUGUGCACAUCUUGACGGUACCUAAUCAGAAAGCCACGGCUAACUACGUG
Molecule: ribosomal RNA, 497 nt
Filed under: uncultured bacterium
Lineage: Bacteria
Description: partial 16S ribosomal RNA
Rfam family: Bacterial small subunit ribosomal RNA
Source: RNAcentral